AAGUCCCGUAACGAGCGCAACCCUCAUAUUCAGUUGCCAUCGGGUUAAGCUGGGCACUCUGAAGAAACCGCCGGUGACAAGCCGGAGGAAGGCGGGGAUGACGUCAAGUCCUCAUGGCCCUUAUGGGCUGGGCUACACACGUGCUACAAUGGUGGUGACAGUGGGAUGCAAGGGGGCGACCCUGAGCAAAUCUCAAAAAGCCAUCUCAGUUCGGAUUGCACUCUGCAACUCGAGUGCAUGAAGGUGGAAUCGCUAGUAAUCGCGGAUCAGCAUGCCGCGGUGAAUACGUUCCCGGGCCUUGUACACACCGCCCGU
This 315-nucleotide ribosomal RNA is filed under the name uncultured soil bacterium. Its description in RNAcentral is "bacterial SSU rRNA". It matches the Rfam family "Bacterial small subunit ribosomal RNA", at positions 1082 to 1397 of the family's 1533-position model. The record is from RNAcentral.